RNAcentral lists this ribosomal RNA (258 nucleotides) under uncultured bacterium. Its description in RNAcentral is "partial 16S ribosomal RNA". It matches the Rfam family "Bacterial small subunit ribosomal RNA", at positions 1244 to 1500 of the family's 1533-position model. The record is from RNAcentral.
GUGAGGCGAGACCGUGAGGUUAAGCAAAGCACAAAAAAGGACAUCUCAGUUCGGAUUGUAGUCUGCAACUCGACUACAUGAAGCUGGAAUCGCUAGUAAUCGCGAAUCAGAAUGUCGCGGUGAAUACGUUCCCGGGUCUUGUACACACCGCCCGUCACACCAUGGGAGUCGGUAAUACCCGAAGUCAGUAGUCUAACCGCAAGGGGGACGCUGCCGAAGGUAGGAUUGGCGACUGGGGUGAAGUCGUAACAAGGUAGC